Molecule: long non-coding RNA, 1215 nt
Organism: Brassica napus (rape)
Lineage: Eukaryota; Viridiplantae; Streptophyta; Magnoliopsida; Brassicales; Brassicaceae
Exons: 3
Source: RefSeq, a predicted model, not a curated record
AUUUAAUAUAUAUCAAAUCUAUAUUAAAUAUUAGUAAAAAAAUAGUAAAAUCUACAAUAUUUAAUAAAAUUUAUUUUUAAAUAUAAGUUAGAUUUAAAUGAAGACAGUUGAACGGAAAAAAUAAGAUACUUUUAGAAAAGCUGUCUUCCCCUUCGAACAACUGCACCGGAUAUCUCUCAAUUAAAUUGACUAUCCCCAAAAUCCAAAGAUAAAAUCUGCUCCUAUGUUUCACUAAUUUUCAAUGCGUACAAAUGAUAUGAUUCGGUGAAGGCUAACCUCAUAUAAUAUGUACAGGUUACAGAUCUCAACGUGGGAUGAGAUUUGGUCGGGAAGCUUCGGUCUGAAAUCGGAACGUUGAAUGAGAUUUGGGUAUCUAACUUGAUGAAAGACAAAGGAAGGCACGGCCGCAAUAGAACAUCUUUGCACGGGACUCUCUUCAGGCUUGAAGAAGACGUACGAUUGAGAUGGUUCUACCAAUCUUGAGUCUUGACGAAUAAAUCAGUCGGAGACACCCAAAUGAGGCCUCGAUAUGCUUUCACCAAAUAUCAUAUUAUCCGAAAGUGAUGUCAUAGUAUAUACAUUUUAAAAAUUAUAUAUAUCCAUAGGGGCACCUCUCAUUUGACAUGAUGAUGACGUCUAUAUAUAAAGAAUGAGAUCUUGUCCAGUUUCUCAGGUUGCCAUCCAAGGGGUCUUUAUUGCUCUCCAGCUAGCUGUCCUACAAGCUGUCCCCACCAUUCAGAAAGGUCAGGCACCAACGUCUAAUGAGAAAAGUGAGCAGUUCUUGAUAACAUGUUGUAACUGCGCGGCAGCAGCGUGUCUCCAUCAAAUUGAACCAUGCACGUGAUCUGGUCGAGGCAAUAGAGAGGGAAAAACGGGAGCCUAAAGAAAUAUAGAUGCGUUGGAGUUCCCUCCUUAAACCCAAAACAAAUCAAGCCUUAGUCAAAGAAGAAGAAAUAUCUAGAAGGAGAAGAAGAGUGUGGAUUGAGAAGUGUGUAGAAGUGUGUUGAAGUGUUUAAGAAAAGAAGAUGGAGAAAUCUCUAGAAUUAGCUUGUAGUUACCCUCCACUAGUAUAAAUAAGAGUGUAGAGUCCCUUUGUAACAUCAUCCAAGAAUCAAGAAAACAAAGAGAGAAAACAUUUGUAAGAGAGAGUUCUCAAAACAAAAUCUUUGUAAACCCUUUCCAAAAUUAUAAAGAGUCUUCUUCUUAAAUCUUUUA